AUGAGAUCCAAGAACCCUCUCUUGGGGUCUGAAUCAGGACCGCUUUCCUGUAACAUAUUUCUGGUGACCACAGAAGGGACUGUAGUGCAGAAACCCUGACCCAACGGCUAUCUUUGGGUCAAUAAGUCACCAGUAUGCCUUAAGAGCAAUGAAGAAAUACCAAGGAGAUGGAAGACACAUUCUUCACCAUCACAGGAUUUAUAAUCCAGCUGAGGAAACAAACACAUACAAAUGAAAUAAUAAUACCCCACCAGAUUUGCAGAAUUCUACAAGCAAAAUAUAUUAGUAUCCCUUUUCCCAUUUAUUCCUUAUAAUCACCUUGUGAUAUAAGUAAUUUAGCUAUACACUCCUUUCCUUGUUUUACAUCAUGGAAACUGAG
Molecule: long non-coding RNA, 379 nt
Filed under: Homo sapiens (human)
Lineage: Eukaryota; Metazoa; Chordata; Mammalia; Primates; Hominidae
Description: HSALNT0212073
Source: RNAcentral